Molecule: ribosomal RNA, 253 nt
Filed under: uncultured bacterium
Lineage: Bacteria
Description: partial 16S ribosomal RNA
Rfam family: Bacterial small subunit ribosomal RNA
Source: RNAcentral
UACGGAGGGUGCAAGCGUUAUCCGGAUUCACUGGGUUUAAAGGGAGCGUAGGUGGGUUGGUAAGUCAGUGGUGAAAUCCCCGAGCUUAACUUGGGAACUGCCAUUGAUACUAUUAGUCUUGAAUACUGUGGAGGUUAGCGGAAUAUGUCAUGUAGCGGUGAAAUGCUUAGAUAUGACAUAGAACACCAAUUGCGAAGGCAGCUGGCUACACAAAUAUUGACACUGAGGCUCGAAAGCGUGGGGAUCAAACAGG